GAUGAACGCUGGCGGCGUGCUUAAUACAUGCAAGUCGAGCGAACGGACGAGAAGCUUGCUUCUCUGAUGUUAGCGGCGGACGGGUGAGUAACACGUGGAUAACCUACCUAUAAGACUGGGAUAACUUCGGGAAACCGGAGCUAAUACCGGAGAAUAUUUUGAACCGCAUGGUUCAAUAGUGAAAGACGGUCUUUCUGUCACUUAUAGAUGGAUCCGCGCUGCAUUAGCUAGUUGGUAAGGUAACGGCUUACCACGGCAACGAUGCAUAGCCGACCUGAGAGGGUGGUCGGCCACACUGGAACUGAGACACGGUCCAGACUCCUACGGGAGGCAGCAGUCGGGAAUCUUCCGCAGUGGGCGAGAGCCUGACGGAGCAACGCCGCGUGAGUGAUGAAGGUCUUCGGUUCGUAAAACUCUGUUAUUAGUGAAGAACAUAUGUGUAAGUAACUGUGCACAUCUUGACGGUACCUGAUCAGGAAGCCCCGGCUAACUACGUG
RNAcentral lists this ribosomal RNA (497 nucleotides) under uncultured bacterium. Its description in RNAcentral is "partial 16S ribosomal RNA". It matches the Rfam family "Bacterial small subunit ribosomal RNA", at positions 28 to 507 of the family's 1533-position model. The record is from RNAcentral.